UACGUAGGGUCCGAGCGUUGUCCGGAAUUAUUGGGCGUAAAGAGCUCGUAGGUGGUGUGUCGCGUCGGAUGUGAAAGCCCGGGGCUUAACUCCGGGUCUGCAUUCGAUACGGGCAGGCUAGAGUUCGGUAGGGGAGAUCGGAAUUCCUGGUGUAGCGGUGAAAUGCGCAGAUAUCAGGAGGAACACCGGUGGCGAAGGCGGAUCUCUGGGCCGAUACUGACACUGAGGAGCGAAAGCGUGGGGAGCGAACAGG
RNAcentral lists this ribosomal RNA (253 nucleotides) under uncultured bacterium. RNAcentral describes it as "partial 16S ribosomal RNA". It matches the Rfam family "Bacterial small subunit ribosomal RNA", at positions 524 to 776 of the family's 1533-position model. The record is from RNAcentral.